Molecule: ribosomal RNA, 235 nt
Filed under: uncultured bacterium
Lineage: Bacteria
Description: partial 16S ribosomal RNA
Rfam family: Bacterial small subunit ribosomal RNA
Source: RNAcentral
UGAGUAACCUGCCCUUAACUCUGGGAUAAGCCUGGGAAACUGGGUCUAAUACCGGAUAUGACUCCUCAUCGCAUGGUGGGGGGUGGAAAGCUUUUUUGUGGUUUUGGAUGGACUCGCGGCCUAUCAGCUUGUUGGUGAGGUAAUGGCUCACCAAGGCGACGACGGGUAGCCGGCCUGAGAGGGUGACCGGCCACACUGGGACUGAGAUACGGCCCAGACUCCGUACGGGAGGCAG